CACUAGGAGCCGAAGAAGGACGGGACUAACACCGAUAUGCUUUGGGGAGCUGUACGUAAGCGUUGAUCCAGAGAUUUCCGAAUGGGGGAACCCACUAUCUUUAGUCGGAUAGUAUCCUUACGUGAAUACAUAGCGUGAGGAAGGCAGACCCAGGGAACUGAAACAUCUAAGUACCUGGAGGAAGAGAAAGAAAAAUCGAUUUCCUGAGUAGCGGCGAGCGAAACGGAAAGAGCCCAAACCAAGAAGCUUGCUUCUUGGGGUUGUAGGACACUCUAUACGGAGUUACAAAAGAAAGUUAUAAAUGAAGCGGUCUGGAAAGGCCCGCCAAAGACGGUAACAGCCCGGUAGUUGAAAUGGCUUUCCCUCCAGAGUGGAUCCUGAGUACGGCGGAACACGUGAAAUUCCGUCGGAAUCCGGGAGGACCAUCUCCCAAGGCUAAAUACUCCCUAGUGACCGAUAGUGAACCAGUACCGUGAGGGAAAGGUGAAAAGCACCCCGGAAGGGGAGUGAAACAGUUCCUGAAACCGUGUGCCUACAAGUAGUUAGAGCCCGUUAAUGGGUGAUAGCGUGCCUUUUGUAGAAUGAACCGGCGAGUUACGAUUUGUUGCAAGGUUAAGCGGAAAAAGCGGAGCCGUAGCGAAAGCGAGUCUGAAUAGGGCGCAUAAGUAACAGGUCGUAGACCCGAAACCAGGUGAUCUACCCAUGUCCAGGAUGAAGGUAAGGUAAUACUUACUGGAGGUCCGAACCCACGCACGUUGAAAAGUGCGGGGAUGAGGUGUGGGUAGCGGAGAAAUUCCAAUCGAACUUGGAGAUAGCUGGUUCUCUCCGAAAUAGCUUUAGGGCUAGCCUCGAGGUAAAGAGUCAUGGAGGUAGAGCACUGUUUGGACUAGGGGCCCUUCUCGGGUUACCGAAUUCAGAUAAACUCCGAAUGCCAUGUACUUAUACUCGGGAGUCAGACUGCGAGUGAUAAGAUCCGUAGUCGAAAGGGAAACAGCCCAGACCACCAGUUAAGGUCCCCAAAUAUAUGUUAAGUGGAAAAGGAUGUGGGGUUGCUUAGACAACCAGGAUGUUGGCUUAGAAGCAGCCACCAUUGAAAGAGUGCGUAAUAGCUCACUGGUCGAGUGACCCCGCGCCGAAAAUGUACCGGGGCUAAACAUAUUACC
This 1163-nucleotide ribosomal RNA is filed under the name Listeria monocytogenes. RNAcentral describes it as "partial 23S ribosomal RNA". It matches the Rfam family "Bacterial large subunit ribosomal RNA", at positions 37 to 1195 of the family's 2925-position model. Lineage: Bacteria; Bacillati; Bacillota; Bacilli; Caryophanales; Listeriaceae. The record is from RNAcentral.